GGCAAUCUGCCCUUCACUCUGGGACAAGCCCUGGAAACGGGGUCUAAUACCGGAUACCACUACCGCAGGCAUCUGUGGUGGUUGAAAGCUCCGGCGGUGAAGGAUGAGCCCGCGGCCUAUCAGCUUGUUGGUGAGGUAAUGGCUCACCAAGGCGACGACGGGUAGCCGGCCUGAGAGGGCGACCGGCCACACUGGGACUGAGACACGGCCCAGACUCCUACGGGAGGCAGCAGUGGGGAAUAUUGCACAAUGGGCGAAAGCCUGAUGCAGCGACGCCGCGUGAGGGAUGACGGCCUUCGGGUUGUAAACCUCUUUCAGCAGGGAAGAAGCGAAAGUGACGGUACCUGCAGAAGAAGCGCCGGCUAACUACGUGCCAGCAGCCGCGGUAAUACGUAGGGCGCAAGCGUUGUCCGGAAUUAUUGGGCGUAAAGAGCUCGUAGGCGGCUUGUCACGUCGGGUGUGAAAGCCCGGGGCUUAACCCCGGGUCUGCAUUCGAUACGGGCUAGCUAGAGUGUGGUAG
Molecule: ribosomal RNA, 520 nt
Filed under: Streptomyces canus
Lineage: Bacteria; Bacillati; Actinomycetota; Actinomycetes; Kitasatosporales; Streptomycetaceae
Description: bacterial SSU rRNA
Rfam family: Bacterial small subunit ribosomal RNA
Source: RNAcentral